This 418-nucleotide unclassified non-coding RNA is filed under the name soil metagenome. RNAcentral's name for it is "partial contains 5.8S ribosomal RNA, internal transcribed spacer 2, and large subunit ribosomal RNA". The stretch from base 1 to 120 matches the Rfam family "5.8S ribosomal RNA", at positions 35 to 154 of the family's 154-position model. The record is from RNAcentral.
GAUGAAGAACGUAGCGAAAUGCGAUACGUAAUGUGAAUUGCAGAAUUCAGUGAAUCAUCGAAUCUUUGAACGCACAUUGCGCUCUCUGGUAUUCCGGAGAGCAUGCUUGUUUGAGUAUCAGUAAACACCUCAACUCCUUUAUUGUAGUUGGACUUGAGCUAUCCCAACAGGACUUUUUGUUCCUGGCGGGAGGCUUGAAAUGCAGGUGCAGCUGGACUUUCUUCUGAGCUAUAAGCAUAUUUAUUUAAUCCCUUAACACGGAUUAUUACUUUUUUUCUGCAGCUAACAUAAAGGUUGAAUUUCCAUUGAGCUGACUGAUGCAGGAAUUUGGCAAGGAAUUUUUUUAAUGACUUGUUAAACUCGAUCUCAAAUCAAGUAAGACUACCCGCUGAACUUAAGCAUAUCAAUAAGCGGAGGA